UCCGGUUGAUCCUGCCAGAGGUUACUGCUAUCGAGGUUCGACUAAGCCAUGCGAGUCGAAUGUAGCAAUACAUGGCGUACUGCUCAGUAACACGUGGACAACCUGCCCUUAGGUUGGGUAUAAACCCGGGAAACUGGGUAUAAUCCCCUAUAAGUCUCGGCUGCUGGAAUGCACCGAGAUUAAAAGCUCCGGCGCCUAAGGAUGGGUCUGCGGCCUAUCAGGUAGUAGUGGGUGUAGCGUACCUACUAGCCUACGACGGGUACGGGUUGUGAGAGCAAGAGCCCGGAGAUGGAUUCUGAGACACGAAUCCAGGCCCUACGGGGUGCAGCAGGCGCGAAAACUUUACAAUGCUGGCAACAGCGAUAAGGGAACCUCGAGUGCCAGGUUACAAAUCUGGCUGUCGAGAUGCCUAAAAAGCAUUUCAUAGCAAGGGCCGGGCAAGACCGGUGCCAGCCGCCGCGGUAACACCGGCGGCUCGAGUGGUAACCGUUAUUAUUGGGUCUAAAGGGUCUGUAGCCGGCCGGAUAAGUCUCUUGAGAAAUCUGGCAGCUUAACUGUCAGGCUUUCAGGAGAUACUGUCUGGCUCGAGGCCGGGAGAGGUGAGAGGUACUUCAGGGGUAGGGGUGAAAUCU
This 632-nucleotide ribosomal RNA is filed under the name unidentified archaeon. Its description in RNAcentral is "bacterial SSU rRNA". It matches the Rfam family "Archaeal small subunit ribosomal RNA", at positions 1 to 640 of the family's 1478-position model. The record is from RNAcentral.